Nicotiana sylvestris (wood tobacco) is the source of this 87-nucleotide non-coding RNA. The record is from Rfam. Lineage: Eukaryota; Viridiplantae; Streptophyta; Magnoliopsida; Solanales; Solanaceae.
AUAUGCCUGGCUCCCUGUAUGCCAUUUGCAGAGCUCACCGUAAUAUCGAUGGGUCUUUGUGAAUGGCGUAUGAGGAGCCAAGCAUAU